GAAAUGCGAUAAGUAAUGUGAAUUGCAGAAUUCAGUGAAUCAUCGAAUCUUUGAACGCACCUUGCGCUCCUUGGUAUUCCUUGGAGCAUGCCUGUUUGAGUAUCAUGAAAUCUUCAAAGUAUAUCUUUUGUUAACUCAAUUGGUUUCUACUUUGGUAUUGGAGGUCUUUGCAGCUUCACACCUGCUCCUCUUUGUUCAUUAGCUGGAUCUCAGUGUUAUGCUUGGUUCCACUCGGCGUGAUAAGUUAUCUAUCGCUGAGGACACUGUAAAAGGUGGCCAAGGUAAAUGCAGAUGAACCGCUUCUAAUAGUCCAUUGACUUGGGCAAUACUUUUAUGAUCUGAUCUCAAAUCAGGUAGGACUACCCGCUGAACUUAAGC
Molecule: unclassified non-coding RNA, 378 nt
Filed under: plant metagenome
Description: partial contains 5.8S ribosomal RNA, internal transcribed spacer 2, and large subunit ribosomal RNA
Rfam family: 5.8S ribosomal RNA (bases 1-105)
Source: RNAcentral